This 253-nucleotide ribosomal RNA is filed under the name uncultured bacterium. Its description in RNAcentral is "partial 16S ribosomal RNA". It matches the Rfam family "Bacterial small subunit ribosomal RNA", at positions 524 to 776 of the family's 1533-position model. The record is from RNAcentral.
UACGGGGGGGGCAAGCGUUGUUCGGAAUUACUGGGCGUAAAGGGCUCGUCGGCGGCCAACUAAGUCGGACGUGAAAUCCCCAGGCUUAACCUGGGAACUGCGUCGGAUACUGGAUGGCUUGAAUCCGGGAGAGGGAUGCGGAAUUCCAGGUGUAGCGGUGAAAUGCGUAGAUAUCUGGAGGAACACCGGUGGCGAAGGCGGCAUCCUGGACCGGCAUUGACGCUGAGGAGCGAAAGCCAGGGGAGCAAACGGG